GGACCCGUGAUCCGGGUUGCGGACAGUGUCUGGUGGGUAGUUUGACUGGGGCGGUCUCCUCCUAAAGAGUAACGGAGGAGCACGAAGGUUGGCUAAUCCUGGUCGGACAUCAGGAGGUUAGUGCAAUGGCAUAAGCCAGCUUGACUGCGAGCGUGACGGCGCGAGCAGGUGCGAAAGCAGGUCAUAGUGAUCCGGUGGUUCUGAAUGGAAGGGCCAUCGCUCAACGGAUAAAAGGUACUCCGGGGAUAACAGGCUGAUACCGCCCAAGAGUUCAUAUCGACGGCGGUGUUUGGCACCUCGAUGUCGGCUCAUCACAUCCUGGGGCUGAAGUAGGUCCCAAGGGUAUGGCUGUUCGCCAUUUAAAGUGGUACGCGAGCUGGGUUUAGAACGUCGUGAGACAGUUCGGUCCCUAUCUGCCGUGGGCGCUGGAGAACUGAGGGGGGCUGCUCCUAGUACGAGAGGACCGGAGUGGACGCAUCACUGGUGUUCGGGUUGUCAUGCCAAUGGCACUGCCCGGUAGCUAAAUGCGGAAGAGAUAAGUGCUGAAAGCAUCUAAGCACGAAACUUGCCCCGA
Molecule: ribosomal RNA, 574 nt
Filed under: Salmonella enterica
Lineage: Bacteria; Pseudomonadati; Pseudomonadota; Gammaproteobacteria; Enterobacterales; Enterobacteriaceae
Description: partial 23S ribosomal RNA
Rfam family: Bacterial large subunit ribosomal RNA
Source: RNAcentral